RNAcentral lists this unclassified non-coding RNA (321 nucleotides) under uncultured fungus. Its description in RNAcentral is "partial contains 5.8S ribosomal RNA and internal transcribed spacer 2". The stretch from base 1 to 133 matches the Rfam family "5.8S ribosomal RNA", at positions 22 to 154 of the family's 154-position model. The record is from RNAcentral. Lineage: Eukaryota; Fungi.
UGGUUCUGGCAUCGAUGAAGAACGCAGCAAAAUGCGAUAAGUAAUGCGAAUUGCAGAAUUCAGUGAGUCAUCGAAUCUUUGAACGCACAUUGCGCCCUUUGGUAUUCCGAAGGGCAUGCCUGUUCGAGCGUCAUUAUCACCUCUCAAGCUUGGCUUGCUGUUGGGCCUCAUCGUUAAAGAUGGGCUCGAAAGAUAACGACGGCGUUGUGAGUAACCCCCGAUGCAACCAGCUUUCCGGAGCACGCACGGUGAUGGUUAACCAACCCGGUCUUCACUAAAUAUUUCAUGGUUGACCUCGGAUCAGGUAGGAAUACCCGCUGA